GGACGGCCAUAACAUCAGUAUAUUGCAUUACAGACAUGGCAAAUAUUGAGACCUAGGUACUGGUACACUUGUUAGAAAUAUGAUGCUAUAUCACUAGGAUUCUUGUAAGUCAAUUCAUUUGCCACACACAAAGCAUCGUGUGUGAUAAAAUAAAGUUUCAAGGUUAUGAAAGAUUCUGAAUUCUAUUACAACAGGAACGCCGAGAAUUCUGUUAGAGAGCUGAAGAAACAUUUCUUGCUGUGACAGAAAGGAUGAACUGUUCAAAUUCAGAGAAGUUUUUAGUUGGUCCAUAUGGUGAGACAUACCCAACACCUCAUGAUGCAGAUCAGACCAUGAAUGUAAAAGCUGAGG
Molecule: long non-coding RNA, 351 nt
Organism: Cryptotermes secundus
Lineage: Eukaryota; Metazoa; Arthropoda; Insecta; Blattodea; Kalotermitidae
Exons: 2
Source: RefSeq, a predicted model, not a curated record